RNAcentral lists this ribosomal RNA (254 nucleotides) under uncultured bacterium. RNAcentral describes it as "partial 16S ribosomal RNA". It matches the Rfam family "Bacterial small subunit ribosomal RNA", at positions 524 to 776 of the family's 1533-position model. The record is from RNAcentral.
GACGAACCGUGCGAACGUUGUUCGGAAUCACUGGGCUUAAAGGGCGCGUAGGCGGGUCUUCAAGUUUGGGGUGAAAUCCUCCGGCUCAACCGGAGAACUGCCUCGAAUACUGAAGGUCUCGAGGGGGAUAGGGGCAUGCGGAACUACGGGUGGAGCGGUGAAAUGUGUUGAUAUCGGUGGGAACGCCAGUGGCGAAAGCGGCAGACUGGACCCUUCCUGACGCUGAGUGCGCGAAAGCUAGGGGAGCAAACGGG